UGAGAAAAGCAGAAGCGAGAGCUUCUCGCCUUGCGACAAACGUUGUCUGGCUCUACAUGUCAAAUUUCAUUCCCAUGGAAUAUACUGUAGUGCGGGCUUGCGUUGGCAAGUCCGCUUUCGUUUUUCUCU
Streptococcus sobrinus W1703 is the source of this 129-nucleotide non-coding RNA. The record is from Rfam. Lineage: Bacteria; Bacillati; Bacillota; Bacilli; Lactobacillales; Streptococcaceae.